GAAAUUGAGAGUUUGAUCCUGGCUCAGGACGAACGCUGGCGGCGUGCUUAACACAUGCAAGUCGAGCGAGUGGAUUCCCUUCGGGGAUGAAGCUAGCGGCGGACGGGUGAGUAACACGUGGGCAACCUGCCUUAUAGAGGGGGAUAGCCUUCCGAAAGGAAGAUUAAUACCGCAUAACAUCAGAUUAUCGCAUGGUAGACUGAUCAAAGGAGC
This 213-nucleotide non-coding RNA is filed under the name Clostridium cavendishii DSM 21758. Its description in RNAcentral is "Bacterial small subunit ribosomal RNA". It matches the Rfam family "Bacterial small subunit ribosomal RNA", at positions 1 to 210 of the family's 1533-position model. Lineage: Bacteria; Bacillati; Bacillota; Clostridia; Eubacteriales; Clostridiaceae. The record is from Rfam by way of RNAcentral.